Molecule: ribosomal RNA, 192 nt
Filed under: uncultured prokaryote
Description: partial 16S ribosomal RNA
Rfam family: Bacterial small subunit ribosomal RNA
Source: RNAcentral
UACGUAGGUGGCAAGCGUUGUCCGGAUUUAUUGGGUUUAAAGGGUGCGUAGGCGGUUUCUUAAGUCAGUGGUGAAAUACGGCAGCUCAACUGUCGAGGUGCCAUUGAUACUGGGAAACUUGAGUACUGAUGAGGUAGGCGGAAUGGACGGUGUAGCGGUGAAAUGCUUAGAGAUCAGGAGGAACACCUGUGG